Molecule: RNA transcript, 4827 nt
Organism: Morone saxatilis (striped sea-bass)
Lineage: Eukaryota; Metazoa; Chordata; Actinopteri; Moronidae
Gene: stk39
Gene name: serine threonine kinase 39
Exons: 18
Source: RefSeq, a predicted model, not a curated record
GUGUGCGGUCCGUUAUUUUCCGGGUUGUGUUUCAUCGCUGGCUGUAGUUGCUCUGCUUCAGCUGCCAGCUGACACUUGUACGGAGGAGGUGAGGUCAAAAUUGACUGUCUCUCUCUCUCUCUCCCCGUGUCUGUCUGCCUGUCUGUCUGUCUGGCUAAAGAGAGACAGAGGCUGCUAACUAGCGCAGAAUCACCACCACCACCACCAUCAUCAUCAUCAUCAUCAUGGCGGAUCAAGGCGAAUCUCCGGCUCCCGUCCACCACCCGCAACCAGCGCCGACAACCAGCUGGCCAAUUACCAGGGAGUCGUACGAGCUGCAGGAAGUCAUAGGCAGCGGGGCCACAGCUGUGGUACAGGCAGCCCUCUGCACCCCCAGACAGGAGCGUGUCGCCAUAAAGAGAAUAAACCUGGAAAAAUGCCAGACUAGCAUGGAUGAGCUAUUGAAAGAAAUCCAAGCGAUGAGCCAGUGCAACCACCCCAACGUUGUCACCUACUACACCUCCUUCGUAGUGAAGGAUGAACUUUGGUUAGUCAUGAAGCUUCUGAGUGGAGGCUCUAUGCUGGAUAUAAUUAAGCACACAAGCAAAGAGGAGGACAGAAAUCGAGCGCUAGAUGAGCCUAUUAUUGCUACUAUAUUAAAAGAAGUCCUGGAGGGCCUGGACUAUCUGCACAGAAAUGGACAAAUUCACAGGGAUGUGAAAGCUGGGAACAUACUACUGGGAGAAGAUGGAUCUGUUCAGAUUGCAGAUUUUGGAGUAAGUGCGUUCCUAGCCACAGGCGGGGAUAUGACUAGAAACAAAGUACGAAAGACCUUUGUUGGCACACCAUGCUGGAUGGCGCCGGAGGUGAUGGAACAGGUUCGAGGCUAUGAUUUCAAAGCAGAUAUAUGGAGUUUUGGAAUUACAGCCAUAGAGUUAGCGACAGGCUCUGCGCCCUAUCACCGCUACCCUCCCAUGAAGGUUUUAAUGCUUACUCUACAGAAUGAUCCACCCACUCUAGAGACGGGUGUAGAGGACAAAGAAGUGCUAAAAAGAUAUGGCAAAUCAUUUAGAAAGCUAAUAACUAUGUGCCUUCAGAAGGAUCCUGCCAAAAGGCCUACAGCUGCAGAGCUUUUGAAGUGUAAAUUCUUCCAAAAGGCCAAGAACAAAGAAUAUCUGGUUGAAAAGCUUUUGUGUCGUGCACCAAAGAUUUCCCAGAGAGCGAAGAAGGACCCCGAGCAGAACUGGGGGAGCCUUGGUUCUAUGUCAGGUUUGGAAAAAAAACCCGACACCACCAGAAGGGUGAGGAGAGUCCCAGGCUCCAGUGGGCACCUGCACAAGACGGAGGAUGGAGACUGGGAGUGGAGCGAUGACGAGCUGGACGAGGGCAGUGAGGAGGGCAAGGCAGCAGUGAAUCAGGGCAGGUCACGAAGGGUCAAAGAUGAGGCCAGAGAUAAUGAGGAGAAUGCCAACAGUGUCCCUAUUGAAGGGUUGUCUAUUCAGCAUCCCCAGGUUGAACCGUAUGAGGAUGCACCCUACAUUCAAGGUGCUGUGAACAUGGUACUACGGCUAAGGCACUGAGGUCUCCUGAGAAUCGUAUUGUCAGCAGUUUGAAGGGGAAGUUCAGACUUGCAUAAUAUGCUUGCUGCUGGUGCAAUGACAUUGAAGCUUAAAUAGCCCAAAUAGCACGCAUGCAAAUUGAUUUCACUGAGCAGUUCAGUCCAGAGGUGACAUUUGCAUGUUUUUUUUCUAAAGGUUCUUCUUCAUAAAGGGUAACUAGAAGUUGACAAAUGUCAGGGUAGCUUCUGAAAUAUCUUCUUCAUAAAUGAGUCAGCCAUAAGCCUGAAGUUGAGUUUACAGGAGACAAACAAAUCCUAUCCACCUCUGCACAGGCAUCUCGCUAGGUGUCACUAGUAUAAUAACAAGGACGAUGAUCCCUCAUUGGCUUAUGAUUGCAUAUAUUUUGGGGUUUUAGCCUGUUAGUUGGACAAAACUGUGACAGAUCUUUUCACAAUUUUCUCACAUUUAUGUUGACUAACGUAUAAGUUAACUGUUGUCACAUUAAUUGGUUAUAAAAUAAUUUAAGGUAAUGCUUUAUUUUAUGGGACCUUAAUUUGCCAGGAAGUUACCUUGAAAGAAAAGUUUAAACCCAAGUAAAUAUUUAGUCAGUGGUCAUUUAUUAUUGGAAACUGUAUUCUCCACAUUUGUUGAAUUUUAAGUUUGCCUCUAAGCAUUUUUUAAUGUUCAGCUGACCUGCUGUUCACUGACUAAAAGACCCCCUAGGUUACGGUAGCAAUUAGUUAGAAUUAAUUAAUUGAAACCCUGGAGAUGAUACACUGUCUUCAUUUUCCUAUAAUUAAUAAGAAAAAUAAUGCUUCUUUUAAGGAAGGUUCAUUGAAAUUAUCAGGAAAAUACUGGCAAAUUAUGCACCUGUAAAAUAAGUAGGGUUGGUUUCUGCCCUACUAACAUUUGAACACAUUUAACUGUUAAAAUACAAGUGAAUACAAUUGGUUACCCCUUUCUUUGAUAUGCUAUUAAGAUAUGAGCUUUGGUUACUUUUUUAUUUUAUUUAUAACAGUUGAUUUUCCCCUGAGUCUGGAAAGGGGUUAGGAUUCAGUGUCAAUGUGAAUAAAACUAUGUAGCUUCAGUAGGGCAAAUGUUUGUUGGCCUUGGUAUCAUAGUGUGUUGUGUUUUCUGUAAUAUAUCUACAUUUGUCUUGCCUAAAAAUAUCCAGUAGUCAGUAAUCUCUGUGACUGCCAACAAUGCAGGGCUGCAAUGCUGACAGCAGUAGGACAUUUUUGAAAGGUUGCCUUAGAGAUAUCACCAGUCUUCGUUAUGUUUCCCAAUGAAAUGUUUAUUAAAGCCUGUCACAUUAUUAGUGGGAAAGCAAUCUGCCCACUUUAGGAUUACACUGUAAUAUGUUUUGUCCUAAACCUGCCUUUGUCUAGAGGGAUUAUACAGUCAUAUCAAAUACGCAAGUUAGUUCACAAUGUGUCAGAAAUACUAAGGCGUUUGGUGGGUGAAAUGAUAAUUUUUUACUGCUGUUGAACUGGAAACGAAAUCUCCAGAGUGCUCUAGAUCAUACACGUCAUGACAGAGUUCAGUCUACUAUAUAUGGCUAAUCCCAAAGGAUCCUCACGUAGUCUGACAGAAUGCUUUCUAAACACUGUUGGUUUUCUUCAGAGGAGGCAGAAUUUAGGCACAAUCUAUCUUGGCAGGGUUAUGAUCCUCUGACAUACGUGUGGCCUCGCCUUGGCAAUGUGCACCUACUGCUUCCACUGCUGGGAAUAGAGAUGUUGUUUACGUCCAUCUGCUCCACCAGAGUUUUACCCAGUUCUUUUUCAACCAUAACUCUCUAAAAUGAAAAAAGUCUGACUCACAGCUGAGCUGAUAGUAAAUCCUCACUCCCACUAUUUUGUAUAGACUUGCUGCUAAUACACUGAAUGCAGAAUGCAUUAGCUAUGUGUGUGUUGAAUUAUGGCUCUGUCUCAUCUGAAAUGAGGGCUGUGGGCUGGCCAUGUGAUUUAUUUAACUAGAUUACAAACCAAAUUAAUCCUCUCCUACCACACGUUUUUUGGGUUGCGCUGACAUGUCCUGCUUUCAUAGAUACUGGCCACUCCCCUGUCACACACACAUUUUAAAGACCUAUUUCUAAUGCAAGUGAUGCAAAUAAAUGCAAGUUGAUGCUGCAAAGACGGGAACAGUUUUAAUGCAGUCAGCCAAGUCAAGCCAAGUUUAUUUUUACAUUUUACUGCAGUCUAUGGUUGAGAUACAUACCACCUUAAAGUUACAGCUACAACACUGAAAUCAUGUUUAGUCACAUUUAAUCUUCACAGAACAUUUAAAUAGCUAAAUGCAGAGAGAUAAGCAGAUGCCAGCAUUUUCUGCAGUUCUCCGUGUAGUCCUUUCAACUCUGCUGUAUACAUCUUAGUGGAUGCAGCAGGUGUGAGGUAUGCAGCAGAAGCAGUUAUACAGCUGUUACCUUCAUACUGCUCAGUAUGUGGAAAACUACUGAGCCAUGUCCUCUGCACAUUCUCCACUGCUACAGCACAUUUUGCCCAUGCAACUCAUUUAUUAAAUCAUUGCUUUAGUUACUUGGGUAACAGUCAUUUAUAUUUAUAUAUAAAUAAUAUAUAUCAUAUAUAAGGGAAUAAUGAAUGUGUACUCUGCAGUUUUAGUGAGGCCUUUCAGCUAAUUGUUUGGGUUUUCUUGCCCUCAACUUUACUGUUUUUGUUCACUCUCACUGCUCUUAUUAGUGCCAUUUUCAGCAAAAAAAACAAAAAAAAAAUCAACUGUACGCUUCCUGCCCAGCACCAAAGGGCACACAGUUAAAGUUAGUGGAUCUAAUGGAGCAUUAGCAGCAAAAGAGCUCGAUAUUUUCAGUUUUAAAAGAGUGAAUAUUGGAACAUUUUUCAGGUGAACACAAACAUGACUCCAAAUGAAUGCUGCUGCUUGAUGACUAAAUAUGCCAUUGUUUGCUAAUACGUUCGCCAUAUCAACUUUAUGAGGUGAUAGUGUGUUUACAGCUUGUUGUGGCCAAAAAAUAUUUUUAAGGAUAACAAUUUCAUACUUGUUUUCUACUUGUCUCUGCUUCCUUUUAAAUAUUUGUGCCCAGAGGACACUCAUAGAAACACAAAAUCUAAAUCUGAAUUUUCAGAUACUACUUGUUCAGUCACACCCUUUUCUCUUUUUUCCCCCAGGAACUCGAGAAAGGAGUUGAAUGACAUCCGGUUUGAAUUCACUCCUGGACGAGACACCGCUGAUGGCGUUUCCCAGGAAUUGUUCUCAGCCGGCCUUGUCAACGGGCACGAUGUUGUUGUUGUUGCUGCUAACCUUCAGAAGAUUGUAG